CCUACGGGAGGCAGCAGUGGGGGAUAUUGCACAAUGGGGGAAACCCUGAUGCAGCGACGCCGCGUGGGCGAAGAAGUAUUUCGGUAUGUAAAGCCCUAUCAGCAGGGAAGAAGAACUGACGGUACCUGAGUAAGAAGCACCGGCUAAAUACGUGCCAGCAGCCGCGGUAAUACGUAUGGUGCAAGCGUUAUCCGGAUUUACUGGGUGGAAAGGGAGCGCAGGCGGCACGGCAAGCCUGAUGUGAAAGCCCGCGGCCCAACCGCGGGACUGCAUUGGGAACUACCGGGCUGGAGUGCCGGAGAGGUAGGCGGAAUUCCUAGUGUAGCGGUGAAAUGCGUAGAUAUUAGGAGGAACACCAGUGGCGAAGGCGGCCUACUGGACGGUGACUGACGCUGAGGCUCGAAAGCGUGGGGAGCAAACAGGAUUAGAUACCCGAGUAGUC
RNAcentral lists this ribosomal RNA (442 nucleotides) under uncultured bacterium. RNAcentral's name for it is "partial 16S ribosomal RNA". It matches the Rfam family "Bacterial small subunit ribosomal RNA", at positions 338 to 795 of the family's 1533-position model. The record is from RNAcentral.